UUGUAUUUGAUUGUUUUAGGAAAAAAGACCACAAUUUUAUCUGAUUGUUUUUUUUGGGGGAGGCAGAAAUUUUUAAAAAAAGGAUUAAUUGUUUUUUAAUAAAUAAAAAGAUGAAAAAAAACAACCACCAAAAACAAAAAACAGAAGAAGAGCAUGUGCCGACAAAAAAAUGACAAAACAACAACAAAAAAGAGAUACGUGUCACUGGAGGCAUCAACUGCUAAGCUAAAUGGCUAACAAAUGAAAAUUUAGGUUCCAUUUGAUCAUAAAAAUUAGUAUUUUUUUCCGGAGUUAAGAGUUGAAGAUUAAGUUAGAGUAGGAGUUGUGUUUGAUCAUGAAUAUAAAUUAAAGUUAUUUUUGAAAUUCUAUGAGAGAAGUAUAAGUGAAAAAAAUAAUAAAAAUCAUGGCCAAACUGUGCAUAAUAAUUUGAUUUUUUCAGUAAAAUAAAAUAAUUUUUCGAAAAAAGAAAAAAAACGGCUACUUAAAUUCAUUGGCCAUUUGAUAUUUUAUUUUUAUUUUUGUUGUCCUUGUCCCUAAACCCAAUAGUAUUUCGGAGAGAGUGGGGGCCUUUGGCCUUACUGUGCUGUUAUAUUGACCACAUGCUACUUUAUUCAUUCAUUCACAAAAAGAAUGAGCCAAAAACUAAGAUGGAUGGGAGAAGGAUGCAUCCAAAAUUGAUGAUUCAUGUUGUGUUUGGUGAUAAUGAUUUUUUGAGCAGGAACCACUUCCCUCCUAGUUUCGUUUUCGGCUCUGCUUAUCAAGUCAGUAGUCCACUAAUGAAGGGAUAGUAAGUUUAGGCCAGUUGCCAAUUCAGUGCGCCACCAAAGCUAAUGUCUGUCUAUCUAAGACCAGUAACAUGCACAAGCCAACUAAACAGAGGAACAAAAAUAAACAAGUACAAGCAUUAAUUUGUCAAUUCAAAUGUGUAACAUGACCAUGGUUAGGUGGAAGUUUUUGCUUUCCAUAGGUCAUAGGCGGAAAACUGAUUCUUUGAAUCCCACAAGAUUCAGGGUCGAACUUUCUGGAAUUCAGACUAGAGCAACAAGUCGUAUUUAUAAUUUCCAGGUGCAUACAAUGGAGCUAGCUAACGGAGAUGUAGCUUGCGAUGCAUACCACAAAUAAAAGGAAGAUGUACAAUCGCACUCUGGGAGUGCAAGUGACAAUUGGCUGAUGGAAUCCAUGUUAUGAUUUUCUUUAUCUCAAACUGCAGGAAUUCAACCAUGAUGAUCUACCACAAGCACUUGAAGACGAAUAUGGUGGAUGGCUAAGUCAAAACAUAAUGUAUACUGGAUACUUUCCACCUGUAAUUCUUGGUAAAUGAGGACGUAUAUUCUAGCCUGAACUUGCAUAUUUGGGUAGUUAAUCUGCUCACUCUAGCGAUUGAUCAGCAUGUCCCUUUUUCUCACAUGCUGUGUGCUCGAUCGACUAAUUGACAAUUACUGUUAUAUUACUAUGUGUUUAUUUGUUACUAGGAAUGGAUCAAAUGUCAAGAGGCUACUUCUCAUGGUGUCUUUCUUGGAUGGUUUGGAGUUGAUGAAUCAGGGUUUGGCCUAUACUAUGUGGAUUUGGGUGACAAAAAUUUAACGAGGCAUCCAAAGCUUUCUCAACGUUGGUACUCCAAUUUCUUGAAGGGAAUAUAGUAACGUACAAUAUCCCGGAAGUCUUGAGGCGUCUUGAGUGUUGUUGAUACCUGAAAGAGAAGAGUUAAAAUUGCCAUGUAAUAAGUGUUCAGUCGAUUUGGGAACCUGUAGGUAUUAUUGGGGUAAGUAUCUAGACUUCCAUUUUGGCGAACAGCA
This is a long non-coding RNA of Capsicum annuum, 1796 nucleotides long. RefSeq lists it as uncharacterized. The transcript has 2 exons. The record is from RefSeq and is a predicted model, not a curated record. NCBI's taxonomy places the organism in Eukaryota, Viridiplantae, Streptophyta, Magnoliopsida, Solanales, Solanaceae.